GAUGAACGCUGGCGGCGUGCCUAAUACAUGCAAGUCGAGCGAACGGACGAGAAGCUUGCUUCUCUGAUGUUAGCGGCGGACGGGUGAGUAACACGUGGAUAACCUACCUAUAAGACUGGGAUAACUUCGGGAAACCGGAGCUAAUACCGGAUAAUAUUUUGAACCGCAUGGUUCAAAAGUGAAAGACGGUCUUGCUAUCACUUAUAGAUGGACCCGCGCUGCAUUAGCUAGUUGGUAAGGUAACGGCUUACCAAGGCAACGAUGCGUAGCCGACCUGAGAGGGUGAUCGGCCACACUGGAACUGAGACACGGUCCAGACUCCUACGGGAGGCAGCAGUAGGGAAUCUUCCGCAAUGGGCGAAAGCCUGACGGAGCAACGCCGCGUGAGUGAUGAAGGUCUUCGGAUCGUAAAACUCUGUUAUUAGGGAAGAACAUAUGUGUAAGUAACUGUGCACAUCUUGACGGUACCUAAUCAGAAAGCCACGGCUAACUACGUG
This 497-nucleotide ribosomal RNA is filed under the name uncultured bacterium. Its description in RNAcentral is "partial 16S ribosomal RNA". It matches the Rfam family "Bacterial small subunit ribosomal RNA", at positions 28 to 507 of the family's 1533-position model. The record is from RNAcentral.